This 298-nucleotide ribosomal RNA is filed under the name Salmonella enterica subsp. enterica serovar Newport. Its description in RNAcentral is "partial 23S ribosomal RNA". It matches the Rfam family "Bacterial large subunit ribosomal RNA", at positions 894 to 1190 of the family's 2925-position model. RNAcentral also lists the same sequence under 2 other names. The record is from RNAcentral. Lineage: Bacteria; Pseudomonadati; Pseudomonadota; Gammaproteobacteria; Enterobacterales; Enterobacteriaceae.
CUCCGGGGGUAGAGCACUGUUUCGGCUAGGGGGCCAUCCCGGCUUACCAACCCGAUGCAAACUGCGAAUACCGGAGAAUGUUAUCACGGGAGACACACGGCGGGUGCUAACGUCCGUCGUGAAGAGGGAAACAACCCAGACCGCCAGCUAAGGUCCCAAAGUCAUGGUUAAGUGGGAAACGAUGUGGGAAGGCCCAGACAGCCAGGAUGUUGGCUUAGAAGCAGCCAUCAUUUAAAGAAAGCGUAAUAGCUCACUGGUCGAGUCGGCCUGCGCGGAAGAUGUAACGGGGCUAAACCAU